Molecule: unclassified non-coding RNA, 375 nt
Filed under: soil metagenome
Description: partial contains 5.8S ribosomal RNA, internal transcribed spacer 2, and large subunit ribosomal RNA
Rfam family: 5.8S ribosomal RNA (bases 1-120)
Source: RNAcentral
GAUGAAGAACGUAGCGAAAUGCGAUAAGUAAUGUGAAUUGCAGAAUUCAGUGAAUCAUCGAAUCUUUGAACGCACAUUGCGCCCGCCAGUAUUCUGGCGGGCAUGCCUGUUCGAGCGUCAUUUCAACCCUCAAGACCCCUUCGGGGGACUUGGUGUUGGGGACCGGCACAGGGGCCUGCCUGCUUGUCUUGCAGCGCCCUCGCCGCCCCCGAAAUGAAUUGGCGGCCUCGUCGCGGCCUCCCCUGCGUAGUAGCACAAACCUCGCAACGGGAACGUGACGGCGGCCACUGCCGUAAAACAACCCAAGUUUAUUAGAGUUGACCUCGAAUCAGGUAGGAAUACCCGCUGAACUUAAGCAUAUCAAUAAGCGGAGGA